Molecule: ribosomal RNA, 306 nt
Filed under: uncultured bacterium
Lineage: Bacteria
Description: partial 16S ribosomal RNA
Rfam family: Bacterial small subunit ribosomal RNA
Source: RNAcentral
GACAGCAGUCGCCGCGGUAAUACGGAGGGGGCUAGCGUUGUUCGGAAUUACUGGGCGUAAAGCGCACGUAGGCGGCUUGGUAAGUUAGAGGUGAAAGCCCGGAGCUCAACUCCGGAAUUGCCUUUAAGACUGCCGAGCUAGUAGGUGAGAGAGGUAAGUGGAAUUCCGAGUGUAGAAGUGAAAUUCGUAGAUAUUCGCAAGAACACCAGUGGCGAAGGCGGCUCACUGGUCCGGUACUGACGCUGAGGUGCGAAAGCGUGGGGAGCAAACAGGAUUAGAUACCCGAGUAGUCCCUGUCUCUUAUAU